GGAUGAAAAAUAGUACCUACCACAGGCCUGACAGAAAAUGAAUGGUAGUGGAUGUAAAACACCUGGCACAGUGCCUAAAGCAAGAAGAGCUCAUACAUGUUAGGAGCUGUCAUUGUGAUGCUGCUAUUGUUAUUGUCACAGUAGCUUUGUCCUAAAAGGACUUUCUCCCAAUAUAGUAUGCCUUUCCCCAGUGUAUCACACAGGCCAGGGGAAGGCAAUACAAGCCCUUCACUGGGAUUUCUGGAAACUGCUCCAGGAAGCCUGCCCUGGCCCUCACAUGAUUAUUUGUAAGGGCUGCAGAUGGUGGCAGUGCAAACAGGAGAUCCUGGUGCAGGGGAACUUUUGAAAGUCCUGACAGUUUCUCAAAGAACAAAGGCAGAAGAUGACGGCUUCUGACUCAAGGCUCCAGGCCUCUCUCUCAUCUCUCAUGUAUGUGGACAUCACUCAGGCCCAUCAGAUCCCAAGACUGCUGUCUGCUGACUGACAACAGAAAGAGAAAUUUAGAGCAUCUCUGCUUGGCAGUACUGACUUGGCGCUGCUGAGGACCUAUUUACAGUAGCAGUUGUCCUUCUGCUUUUUGCUCUGAGUGAAAGCAUCGUGUGGCAGGUGACAUGCUCUUGGUCUUCCCAACCUCCAGAACUGACAGGAAAAUGAGGCCUACCUACAAGAACAGACAAGCCCAAGGCCUCAGAGCUAACUCGUGGGCAGGCCAGAACUCAACCUUCUGCUCUCUGGUCCAUGCUUUCUCCAUAGAUCACACUGCCUGAAGAGGUACAGAGGAGAACCAGUGAUUGAUUAUAGCACUAGGGACACAAGCAGCAGAGAGAGACCCAGGAGAGAUCAUAAAGAAAGAGUAUGUGUGUUUGUGGUCAUUAAAUCACAAAGGUCAAACUAGUCGUUUGAUCAAGACUGAUUUUAUCAUUCAACCAGAAUCUCACUAUAGUAUUCACUGCCUUCAGGGUCUAUCUCAGGCAACUCUAUUUGUAGAUAAUCCUUGAUAAACAUGGUAGACAACUCAAAUACCCUCUAUGACCUUGGAGCAAGGUUCUAGUAUGGAGGAGGUACUCUAGUUCCUCAUCAUCCCCACUUACAAACUAGUAUUUGGAAGGAAUUAUCUUUAAUCUUUGGGUCAGAGUUCAAUGUCCUAGAGAAAUAGUAUUAUUAAUGGUGGUGAGUUUCUGAGAGUAGUCCAGGGAGGCCUAUUUGACACAUAGUUUAAAAUGCUACUAAAAGAAUCACUCUUCUUUCAGGAAGAGAAAAUUAAAGCACUGGGCUGAUGCUUCUGAAGGUGUAGAAGCUGAUGAAAGGUACCAACAGGAAAAAAGUAAACAUGGAAAAAUUAUCAUAAUAAGCGUGAGCUUGUGAACAUAAACUGAUGUAAGCCAGAGACUUCACCAGCUCUGUAACACUGAGCUGAAACACGUUUUGUCUAUGGCCCUAGGUGUAUGUCCCUGGGGCUAGG
Molecule: long non-coding RNA, 1462 nt
Organism: Heterocephalus glaber (naked mole-rat)
Lineage: Eukaryota; Metazoa; Chordata; Mammalia; Rodentia; Bathyergidae
Source: RefSeq, a predicted model, not a curated record